Molecule: ribosomal RNA, 240 nt
Filed under: uncultured Streptomyces sp.
Lineage: Bacteria; Bacillati; Actinomycetota; Actinomycetes; Kitasatosporales; Streptomycetaceae
Description: partial 16S ribosomal RNA
Rfam family: Bacterial small subunit ribosomal RNA
Source: RNAcentral
ACGCGAAGAACCUUACCAAGGCUUGACAUAUGCCGGACACUCCUGGAGACAGGGGCUCCCUUUGGGCCGGUGUACAGGUGGUGCAUGGCUGUCGUCAGCUCGUGUCGUGAGAUGUUGGGUUAAGUCCCGCAACGAGCGCAACCCUUAUCCUGUGUUGCCAGCGCGCCCUUCGGGGUGGCGGGGACUCACGGGAGACUGCCGGGGUCAACUCGGAGGAAGGUGGGGACGACGUCAAGUCAU